GAAUCUUCAAAAGUCGGCUCUGUGGAUUGUGCUGGUGGAGACACAUGUGCACGUCCGCAAGGUCGCAAACCCCACACACCUGUGCAUCUAUGACUCUGAGUGCCGCUUUGCAUGGCCUUGACCGGCCUGGCGCUCGAGUACUUUCACACACUCUUGAAUGUAACGGAAUGUCUUGUUGUGCAUAACGUACAAACAGAAACAACUUUCAACAACGGAUCUCUUGGCUCUCGCAUCGAUGAAGAACGCAGCGAAAUGCGAUAAGUAAUGUGAAUUGCAGAAUUCAGUGAAUCAUCGAAUCUUUGAACGCACCUUGCACCCUUUGGUAUUCCGAAGGGUACGCCCGUUUGAGUGUCAUUGUAAUCUCACCACCAUUGACUUUGGUCUUUUGGUAUGUGGACUUGGAUGUUGCCGUCGAUGUCUACGGCUCGUCUGAAAUGCUUCAGUGUACCCCGCUUUGCGGCGUAUUCGGUGUGAUACAUCUUCACCGGAGUUGAUCCUUUUGGGGGUCGCGUCUGUAAUGUGUGGCUCUAUGCUUCCAACCGUCUCUCGAGACGAUCUCUGACAAUUUG
Molecule: small RNA, 569 nt
Filed under: uncultured fungus
Lineage: Eukaryota; Fungi
Description: eukaryotic LSU rRNA
Rfam family: 5.8S ribosomal RNA (bases 201-354)
Source: RNAcentral